Molecule: ribosomal RNA, 491 nt
Filed under: uncultured bacterium
Lineage: Bacteria
Description: partial 16S ribosomal RNA
Rfam family: Bacterial small subunit ribosomal RNA
Source: RNAcentral
GACGAACGCUGGCGGCGUGCUUAACACAUGCAAGUCGAGCGGUAAGGCCCUUUCGGGGGUACACGAGCGGCGAACGGGUGAGUAACACGUGGGUGACCUGCCCUCAGCUCUGGGAUAAGCCUGGGAAACCGGGUCUAAUACUGGAUAUGACUCCAUGACGCAUGUUGUGGGGUGGAAAGCCUUGUGCGGCUGAGGAUGGGCCCGCGGCCUAUCAGCUUGUUGGUGGGGUGANGGCCUACCAAGGCGACGACGGGUAGCCGGCCUGAGAGGGCGACCGGCCACACUGGGACUGAGACACGGCCCAGACUCCUACGGGAGGCAGCAGUGGGGAAUCUUGCGCAAUGGGCGAAAGCCUGACGCAGCGACGCCGCGUGGGGAUGAAGGUCUUCGGAUUGUAAACCCCUUUCGGGAGGGAAGAUGGAACGAGCAAUCGUUCGGACGGUACCUCCAGAAGCAGCCACGGCUAACUUCGUGCCAGCAGCCGCGGUAAU